CUAGUUGUAUUAUUAGUUAAUGCAAGAUCGACUACGUCGACUAAAGUUCUAGGUAUAAUAAUGAUGAUGACAAUUUUUUACCUAUAUGUCUUGACCAAGUCUCGUGCCAGCAGUCGCGGUAAUACGUGGAAGACUAGUGUUAUUCAUCUUUAUUAGGUUUAAAGGGUACCUAGACGGUAUUUCUAGCCCAAAAUAGGGUACGGAUUUACUAGAGUUUUAUGUGAGGAGGGGAGUACUCGUAGAGUAGAGAUGAAAUUUUGUUAUACUAUGAGGUAACUGGUGGCGGCGAAAGCAACCUUCUAUGUAUAAACUGACGUUGAGGGACGAAGGCUUGGGUAGCAAAUAGGAUUAGAUACCCUAGUAGUCCAAGCAGACAAUUCUGAAUGCCAUAGAUUAGAUUAUUUUUGGUCUAUAAAUGAAAGUGUAAGCAUUCCACCUUAGGAGUAAUGUGGCAACACAGGAACUGAAAUCAUUAGACCGUUUCUGAAACCAGUAGUGAAGUAUGUUAUUUAAAUUGAUGGUCCACAAAAAACCUUACCACAACUUGAAUAUUUUUAAUUAAUACAAGCGUUGCACGGCUGUCUUCAGUUAAUGUCGUGAGAUUUUGGUUAACUCCAUUAAUUAACGUAAACCCUU
Molecule: ribosomal RNA, 636 nt
Filed under: Acarospora fuscata
Lineage: Eukaryota; Fungi; Ascomycota; Lecanoromycetes; Acarosporales; Acarosporaceae
Description: SSU rRNA
Rfam family: Bacterial small subunit ribosomal RNA
Source: RNAcentral